UACGUAGGGGGCAAGCGUUGUCCGGAAUCAUUGGGCGUAAAGAGCGUGUAGGCGGCCUGAUAAGUCGGCUGUGAAAGUCAAGGGCUCAGCCCUUGAAUGCCGGCCGAUACUGUCAGGCUAGAGUCCGGAAGAGGCGAGUGGAAUUCCUGGUGUAGCGGUGAAAUGCGCAGAUAUCAGGAGGAACACCUAUGGCGAAGGCAGCUCGCUGGGACGGUACUGACGCUGAGGAGCGAAAGCGUGGGGAGCGAACAGG
RNAcentral lists this ribosomal RNA (253 nucleotides) under uncultured bacterium. RNAcentral's name for it is "partial 16S ribosomal RNA". It matches the Rfam family "Bacterial small subunit ribosomal RNA", at positions 524 to 776 of the family's 1533-position model. The record is from RNAcentral.